This is a long non-coding RNA of Ahaetulla prasina, 4645 nucleotides long. RefSeq lists it as uncharacterized. The record is from RefSeq and is a predicted model, not a curated record. Lineage: Eukaryota; Metazoa; Chordata; Lepidosauria; Squamata; Colubridae. The transcript is spliced from 3 exons.
UUUCAGAAGAUGAAACUGUUAAAUCAGGUGUAAAAAAACAUAUUAUAGUUUCAUUGGAGAGCUGAUCUUAUCUCAGUAUCCAUUUCUUUCAGAGAAGGAGAAAUGAUUUCUACAAUACAUUUGUGCUUGGAUAUUAUUUUUUUAAGGAAGACACCAAUAAAUCAAUGGAACGGUUCCAGCAUGUUAACAAGACACGGAAAAUGAGAUUGUUGAUGGUAUCCAGUGGAUGCUUAUAAGCACUUCCGGUGCAGAAAGUCUGAUGCCUUAAGAUUCGUGAUGUGCAUUUUUGCAACAUGGACAUAAGCUAUUACAAGGGCCAAAUUCUCAAAUGCCCUGCAAGGGUCCGCAAGUUUCAGAAGUGCAGAAACUAUGCAUUCCAGCUGUACUGUGGUAGUGACUAAUUCUGCAAACUUCAUGUGUGAAGCAAUGCCAUGCUGGUAUCAUUUCUUUCGUAACAGUUCUAUGGAAGGAAAGUGGGGUAGGAAAGGGUAGUCAUUUAGUUUACUAUAGCAUUUCACCAUUAACAUUCUACAAUACAGUUGUACGUGGCUUAGUCAUCAUCUGGUGGACUACUGAUAUUUGGUACUUUUGUUUUGUCUUUUUUCUCUUUUCUCCCAUAACCAUCAUGAGUUAACCAGUAGUAAUGGUAGAGGUAUUGUAAAGCAGCCAAUUGAAAACUAUGACUUUGUUACUUCCUCUGAUAAUCGAAGUCCUUUUCUUUCAGACUUCAGAUUUGUUGCAAUACAGUGUUGUUACAAUACUGUACAGUAUUAGAGAAGCAAGGUUUCUUUCUCAGCUCACUAGCAAUUGAAGCGCUAAAUUGAGAAAAGUAUUUCCCUGAGCAAUUUUGGUCAUUAUUUGUAAGAAAUUGGAUGUUUUAAUUUCUUGGAAACGUGGAAAAGUGAUGUUCUCCCUUCCUGUUUUAAAAUGUUUAAUAAUUGCGAAUUUUAUUUGUUAGCAUUUUUGCCUGAUAUCCCUAUUAUACAUAUUAUUUCUGAAAUCUGCAGGUUAUUCAGCCAUGAACAGAAAUCAUUCCUUUCUUUUUCCUUCUGUUCUUACUUUUUUAAAAUAGAAAAUAAGCUGGCAUGAAAGUGUUAUUGAGGGAUUGGAUUUCAUAACUCUCUGCACUAGGAACAUUGAGUGAACUAAGGAAGGAACUGGAGAAAGGGGACCUUGUUCACAGCCAUCUGCUUUCAUUGUUCAGGAUUCCCCGUCUUUUCUAUCUCUCUUUGAUCUUGGAUCUAAUCCUAUCAUUUAACAAUAAAUACUGAUAUAUACUUUCAGUACGACGGUAAAUGCUUACAUUAAUCUGUUAAAGCAGGAGUGUCAAACUCACAGUGUCACAGCGGCAUUACAUGACAUAUUGGGACUUUUUUCCCCUUCGCUAAACCGGGUGUGGGCGUGGCCAGCGCGUGACGCAUCUGGCCCACGGGCCGGGAGUUUGACAGCCCUGUGUUAGAGGAUAGGAAGACACUGGAUGUUUGACUCUGACAAGAACUGUAUGCAUGCAUUUCCUUUCCCACAAAUCACCAAUCCUCCAAGCAAUGUUCUGAUUAUUAUGACCCUUAACAAUGUUUGCAGAUUUAGAAAUUCAGCUUCUACAGUUCUGGGAGCUGGUGUCCAUACUAAAGUUGCUAAGGUUGAGAAAGAUUCUGAAGAGGAUAAUCUCUCUCUCACUCUGUGGUUGUAUCGGAGUUCCUGUCCUGAUAUAUACUUUUAAAUAUUACCAUCAGUUCUAUCUCAGCUGUUCUACAUUUCUUAUUUCAAUCCAUAAAACAAAAUUAGUACAAGUGAUAUAUAUUUCUAAAAAAUUGAUUUUGAGUAAACAACAGGACGUAGAAUAAAAUGCAAAAUAUAUGUAUCAAUGUGGCUUUUCCAAAUUAAUUUUUAAAACGAGAAGAAAUAAAAUACAUUGUGCAGUUCUUGUGACUCAGUGCUGCAUCCUAUCUUUACAGUGCAAGUUAGGCUCAAGCAAGUUAGGCUCAUCUCAUUGGUCAGAUAAUGUGGUUCAGUGUUAUGAAUUAGUGCUGUCUAGCACAUCUAGAUAUAGGGAGGAUAAAAUAAAAGGAGCUCAAGACUGUUAGAACACAGUACAAAUUCUGCAAAUCCACAACUAGAAGUUACAGCAAAUACAUUAUCCCUUAAAAUAUUUGAUACAUAGGAAAGAUCAGUUAUUGCAAGCUAAUUGUAAUGGUAUGUGGGAAGGAUCUUGAGAGACGGGGAAGAGCCACAGGGGAAGAGUUGGAUAACAGGAACUUAGGCCAUGGAAGCAAUGUGGAUGUGGCUGCCUCAGAAGGGACCUUCUGUGAUUUUUUGGACCUUAAAGAUGACAAGGGAGAAAUGUUUUGCAAGACUGAUGUCAUCCUUGUGAGGUUUACAUUUAGCUCAUCUGAGUGUGCUUCCUUUCUGGACCAUCUUGUAAGGCUGACAUCAGUCUUGCAGCUCUCUGCUGUUCCUUUUUGGUCCAGGAAAGUAGGAAGGGUUCCUUCUGAGUUGUUUGCCAUACCCACAUAGCUUCCUUAAGCUAAGCUGCCUCUUGUCCAAUCAUUUCCCUGGCUGUGGCUCUUCCCAUCUCCCAAAGUCAUUCUCACAUACCAUUACACCAAUAACUUGACCACAGCAAAAAUAGUCUUAAAAGAUAAAUAAAAAUUCAAAUGCAUCAGUAAAAAUGAAUAGAUAACAGGGUUCUCUGAGUAAAGUAUAUAUAGAAAUAUUUAGAUGCACUUAUUUGUUUGGCAUCUAUGUCUAGUAAUAAUUAGGGGUAAAUUUAAAACUAUGUUGGCAAUAUUUAGUAUUUUAAAUUAUUUUGCAAUCAUUAAGCCAUUGAAAAAAUUCAAACAGUGACUAGUCAAACCAACUAUAUCAGGGAUAUCAAGCUCACGCCAUCCCGGCGGCAUCACGAUGUAUCGGGACUUUUCCCCCUUUCGCUAAACUGGGUGCGCGCGUGGCCAGCGAUGAUACAUCCGGCCCAUGGCCCAGGAGUUUGACAGCCCUGAUCUAUAUGUUGGGUCAGAAAGAAAAGUGUUUAUAGUACUGAACUGUAAUUAACAGGUAGAAAAUCUUAUUAAUUUCAAGAAAUUAUACCAAAGAGUAUGAUAUAUCAUGCUGAUUGUAUUGGAAGAUGUGUAGAUUUUAUUUAAAUGCUUUAUCAAAGCAUUUUGCUAAUGAACGUGUAAUGGUAUAAUUAGAAACACUUUAUGUAUAUUCAUUUUGGGGAAUUAUAGCUUGCAUAUUGUAAGCAUAGAUUCUUGGUUGCCUUAGGAAGUCCCUUCCCAAUGACUGUUUAUGUUUAGCUCUACAGACUUAAGACUUGAUUUACUGGCUGCUAUUAUAAAUUAGAUUUUAUGCUGCAGUUUUAAAUAAGACAAGUAUUUUCUAGUAAUUAUGAUUUCUUAUUCCAAGGAAUUUUGAUUAAUAGAAAAGACUUAAAACAGCACUUGAUUAAACAGAUCUUUGGCAUCCUGUGUUGGAGAAAUGUCCUAGCAAUUGUUAUUUUUGUAAUUUUCUAUUAAUGUAGUGACAAGGUCCAAGCAAUUAAAUGACACUAUUUACAAUACUGUUAUACAAUUUCAUUUAGAUCAUAACUACCAAAAAUGUAUCUUAUACACCUGUAUUAUAAAAACAGGUUUUCAGUUAGUCUUAAAAAUCCAAUGUGUAUUUUACAGAUUAUACUUGAAAAUUGUAAUAGAAUGAGACUCCAUGUUUACAAAAUAAAUUACUAAAGAUGGCUUUUGGAACAUUGAACAGCAAUUAAAUGGCUCAUACUUUGAUCAUAUUUUCAGAUAACAUUUUUUGUUUCCUGGUACCAAAGAGCUAAUAAACUAUCAAACAGCUUAUAUUCUAUUGCAAUCCUAGUUAUCUCCCAGGAUUCUUAAAUUACACUAGGAAAGCUUCAGGAAGCAGUUUAAGGAGUGGUCUUUUACCUUAAUCCUGCCAAGUUUAAGGAGUGGUCUUUUACCUUAAUCCUAAAUAUAUUUACCUGGAAGCUGUACUUAUUUUGUGAACAUCACAACUAUAUGGCUUAAGACUGCACAUUAUAGGGUAUUACGGAAGUGCUAUCCACUACGUCUUGUUUUUCCCCAGUAUAAAUUAAUAGAAUGGCAUAGUUCGGCCAAAAUUGCUGUAACCUGUGUUAUAUACCAGUGGGUACAUCAGACACAUUGCACUGUUAUUAUGACAAAGGUGUAUGCAGAUAUUUUACUUAUAGAUCUCUCUGUUGUAGUAGUAGGCUUGCAAGUAUUCAAAUCUAAAAUGGUAUGAGGAUACUUAAAGGAUACAUGUGAAUGAUGCAUCUGUUUCUUAUGUUGCAGACAGUAUUCCUAUGCACAGAAAAAGCAUAUUGCCACUAAUAAUUUAAUAAAGACUUUUUAAAUGGGCUUUUAUAAAUGAACUAUGUAAGAGAGAUCACUUUGCCUGAAAAUUUCCUAUUUUUAACUGCACCUUGUAAUAACUUCAUGUAUAUUUUCCACCAGUGUAAUUAAUUUUCAAUCAUGUUUGACUUUUGUAUAUCAAAGUACAGAUCAUGUCUUAAUUAUAACUGUUUUUAAAAAGCAUAAUCUUCAAGCCCUUCUUUGCCAAAUUGAUGGUACAUUAAUGUGUUAUGACAUAAUGAAUGCAUAAGAAAAUAAAUAACUUGGGAACAGGC